UUAAGCGACUAAGCGUACACGGUGGAUGCCCUGGCAGUCAGAGGCGAUGAAGGACGUGCUAAUCUGCGAUAAGCGUCGGUGAGGUGAUAUGAACCGUUAUAACCGGCGAUUUCCGAAUGGGGAAACCCAGUGUGUUUCGACACACUAUCAUUAACUGAAUCCAUAGGUUAAUGAGGCGAACCGGGGGAACUGAAACAUCUAAGUACCCCGAGGAAAAGAAAUCAACCGAGAUUCCCCCAGUAGCGGCGAGCGAACGGGGAGGAGCCCAGAGCCUGAAUCAGUGUGUGUGUUAGUGGAAGCGUCUGGAAAGGCGCGCGAUACAGGGUGACAGCCCCGUACACAAAAAUGCACAUACUGUGAGCUCGAUGAGUAGGGCGGGACACGUGGUAUCCUGUCUGAAUAUGGGGGGACCAUCCUCCAAGGCUAAAUACUCCUGACUGACCGAUAGUGAACCAGUACCGUGAGGGAAAGGCGAAAAGAACCCCGGCGAGGGGAGUGAAAAAGAACCUGAAACCGUGUACGUACAAGCAGUGGGAGCCUCUUAAUGGGGUGACUGCGUACCUUUUGUAUAAUGGGUCAGCGACUUAUAUUCUGUAGCAAGGUUAACCGAAUAGGGGAGCCGAAGGGAAACCGAGUCUUAACUGGGCGUUAAGUUGCAGGGUAUAGACCCGAAACCCGGUGAUCUAGCCAUGGGCAGGUUGAAGGUUGGGUAACACUAACUGGAGGACCGAACCGACUAAUGUUGAAAAAUUAGCGGAUGACUUGUGGCUGGGGGGGAAAGGCCAAUCAAACCGGGAGAUAGCUGGUUCUCCCCGAAAGCUAUUUAGGUAGCGCCUCGUGAAUUCAUCUCCGGGGGUAGAGCACUGUUUCGGCAAGGGGGUCAUCCCGACUUACCAACCCGAUGCAAACUGCGAAUACCGGAGAAUGUUAUCACGGGAGACACACGGCGGGUGCUAACGUCCGUCGUGAAGAGGGAAACAACCCAGACCGCCAGCUAAGGUCCCAAAGUCAUGGUUAAGUGGGAAACGAUGUGGGAAGGCCCAGACAGCCAGGAUGUUGGCUUAGAAGCAGCCAUCAUUUAAAGAAAGCGUAAUAGCUCACUGGUCGAGUCGGCCUGCGCGGAAGAUGUAACGGGGCUAAACCAUGCACCGAAGCUGCGGCAGCGACACUAUGUGUUGUUGGGUAGGGGAGCGUUCUGUAAGCCUGUGAAGGUGUACUGUGAGGUAUGCUGGAGGUAUCAGAAGUGCGAAUGCUGACAUAAGUAACGAUAAAGCGGGUGAAAAGCCCGCUCGCCGGAAGACCAAGGGUUCCUGUCCAACGUUAAUCGGGGCAGGGUGAGUCGACCCCUAAGGCGAGGCCGAAAGGCGUAGUCGAUGGGAAACAGGUUAAUAUUCCUGUACUUGGUGUUACUGCGAAGGGGGGACGGAGAAGGCUAUGUUGGCCGGGCGACGGUUGUCCCGGUUUAAGCGUGUAGGCUGGUUUUCCAGGCAAAUCCGGAAAAUCAAGGCUGAGGCGUGAUGACGAGGCACUACGGUGCUGAAGCGACAAAUGCCCUGCUUCCAGGAAAAGCCUCUAAGCAUCAGGUAACAUCAAAUCGUACCCCAAACCGACACAGGUGGUCAGGUAGAGAAUACCAAGGCGCUUGAGAGAACUCGGGUGAAGGAACUAGGCAAAAUGGUGCCGUAACUUCGGGAGAAGGCACGCUGAUAUGUAGGUGAAGCGACUUGCUCGUGGAGCUGAAAUCAGUCGAAGAUACCAGCUGGCUGCAACUGUUUAUUAAAAACACAGCACUGUGCAAACACGAAAGUGGACGUAUACGGUGUGACGCCUGCCCGGUGCCGGAAGGUUAAUUGAUGGGGUUAGCGGUAACGCGAAGCUCUUGAUCGAAGCCCCGGUAAACGGCGGCCGUAACUAUAACGGUCCUAAGGUAGCGAAAUUCCUUGUCGGGUAAGUUCCGACCUGCACGAAUGGCGUAAUGAUGGCCAGGCUGUCUCCACCCGAGACUCAGUGAAAUUGAACUCGCUGUGAAGAUGCAGUGUACCCGCGGCAAGACGGAAAGACCCCGUGAACCUUUACUAUAGCUUGACACUGAACAUUGAGCCUUGAUGUGUAGGAUAGGUGGGAGGCUUUGAAGUGUGGACGCCAGUCUGCAUGGAGCCGACCUUGAAAUACCACCCUUUAAUGUUUGAUGUUCUAACGUGGGCCCCUUACCGGGGUUGCGGACAGUGUCUGGUGGGUAGUUUGACUGGGGCGGUCUCCUCCUAAAGAGUAACGGAGGAGCACGAAGGUUGGCUAAUCCUGGUCGGACAUCAGGAGGUUAGUGCAAUGGCAUAAGCCAGCUUGACUGCGAGCGUGACGGCGCGAGCAGGUGCGAAAGCAGGUCAUAGUGAUCCGGUGGUUCUGAAUGGAAGGGCCAUCGCUCAACGGAUAAAAGGUACUCCGGGGAUAACAGGCUGAUACCGCCCAAGAGUUCAUAUCGACGGCGGUGUUUGGCACCUCGAUGUCGGCUCAUCACAUCCUGGGGCUGAAGUAGGUCCCAAGGGUAUGGCUGUUCGCCAUUUAAAGUGGUACGCGAGCUGGGUUUAGAACGUCGUGAGACAGUUCGGUCCCUAUCUGCCGUGGGCGCUGGAGAACUGAGGGGGGCUGCUCCUAGUACGAGAGGACCGGAGUGGACGCAUCACUGGUGUUCGGGUUGUCAUGCCAAUGGCACUGCCCGGUAGCUAAAUGCGGAAGAGAUAAGUGCUGAAAGCAUCUAAGCACGAAACUUGCCCCGAGAUGAGUUCUCCCUGACUCCUUGAGAGUCCUGAAGGAACGUUGAAGACGACGACGUUGAUAGGCCGGGUGUGUAAGCGCAGCGAUGCGUUGAGCUAACCGGUACUAAUGAACCGUGAGGCUUAACCUU
RNAcentral lists this ribosomal RNA (2902 nucleotides) under Escherichia coli KTE6. Its description in RNAcentral is "bacterial LSU rRNA". It matches the Rfam family "Bacterial large subunit ribosomal RNA". The record is from RNAcentral. Lineage: Bacteria; Pseudomonadati; Pseudomonadota; Gammaproteobacteria; Enterobacterales; Enterobacteriaceae.